GAUGAACACUAGCGGCAGGCCUAACACAUGCAAGUCGAGGGGUAGCAGGAUUAAGCUUGCUUAAUUGCUGACGACCGGCGCACGGGUGCGUAACGCGUAUGCAACCUACCUUAUACUGGGGUAUAGCCCGGAGAAAUUCGGAUUAAUCCCCCAUAGUACUAAUGAAUCGCAUGGUUUAUUAGUUAAAGCAUUGCGGUAUAAGAUGGGCAUGCGUCCUAUUAGCUAGAUGGUGAGGUAACGGCUCACCAUGGCUACGAUAGGUAGGGGGCCUGAGAGGGUGGUCACCCACACGGGUACUGAGACACGGACCAGACUCCUACGGGAGGCAGCAGUGAGGAAUAUUGGUCAAUGGGCGCAAGCCUGAACCAGCCAUGCCGCGUGCAGGAAGAAUGCCCUAUGGGUUGUAAACUGCUUUUAUUUGGGAAUAAACCUCUUUACGUGUAGAGAGCUGAAGGUACCAAAUGAAUAAGCACCGGCUAACUCCGUGCCAGCCGCCGCAGUAA
This 503-nucleotide ribosomal RNA is filed under the name uncultured bacterium. Its description in RNAcentral is "partial 16S ribosomal RNA". It matches the Rfam family "Bacterial small subunit ribosomal RNA", at positions 28 to 523 of the family's 1533-position model. The record is from RNAcentral.